This 318-nucleotide ribosomal RNA is filed under the name Triticum aestivum (bread wheat). Its description in RNAcentral is "partial small subunit ribosomal RNA". The record is from RNAcentral. Lineage: Eukaryota; Viridiplantae; Streptophyta; Magnoliopsida; Poales; Poaceae.
AUGGCCGAGCGGCGGGGCGUGCUAAUGAGCGACCGGCGCCGUGGGCUGAUGUUCUGCGCUGAUCAGUUCUCUAGCGAACAGCCGCCCGAGGCAAGGUCUUCUCCCCACCUAGCCAGAAGUUUGAUCCUUCCGAAGAGGUAUUGGGAAGUAAUAUUGGAGAUAAAUCGAGUUGUGAUAAUGCUCAUGAUACUAAUAAUGACGAUGGUAUCUAUGGCAAUAUGGGAGAUUAUAUAUAUGGUGAGGAGCCUUAUGAUCAGUACGACGAUAAUGGUGAUGAGUCUGAUGAUCUUCGAGUCAUGCAACAAAGUAAAGUUAUGA